RNAcentral lists this non-coding RNA (24 nucleotides) under Cricetulus griseus (Chinese hamster). Lineage: Eukaryota; Metazoa; Chordata; Mammalia; Rodentia; Cricetidae. The record is from RNAcentral.
AGGUUGUCCGUGACUAUUACCCCG